GUGUCAGCAGCCGCGGUAAUACGGAGGAUGCGAGCGUUAUCCGGAUUUAUUGGGUUUAAAGGGUGCGCAGGCGGGCCGGAAAGUCAGCGGUAAAAUCGCGGGGCUCAACCCCGCUCCGCCGUUGAAACUGUGUCCCUUGAGUGCGCGAAGGGCAGGCGGAAUGCGUGGUGUAGCGGUGAAAUGCAUAGAUAUCACGCAGAACUCCGAUCGCGAAGGCAGCCUGCCGGCGCGCAACUGACGCUCAUGCACGAAAGCGUGGGUAUCGAACAGGAUUAGAUACCCUGGUAGUCCACGCAGUAAACGAUGGAUGCUACCUGUCCGGGGCGAACGAGCCCUGAGCGGGACAGCGAAAGCGUUAAGCAUCCCACCUGGGGAGUACGCCGGCAACGGUGAA
RNAcentral lists this ribosomal RNA (394 nucleotides) under uncultured bacterium. Its description in RNAcentral is "bacterial SSU rRNA". It matches the Rfam family "Bacterial small subunit ribosomal RNA", at positions 505 to 898 of the family's 1533-position model. The record is from RNAcentral.